GCCACAUCAUGUUGAAACACUGGUUCCUGUAUGAUUAUGGAAGUUAAGCAACAUUGAGCCUGGUCAGUACCUAGAUGUGUGAUCACUUGGGAAUACCACAUACUGUAA
Acanthosepion pharaonis is the source of this 108-nucleotide non-coding RNA. Lineage: Eukaryota; Metazoa; Mollusca; Cephalopoda; Sepiida; Sepiidae. The record is from the annotation of a GenBank genome assembly.